Molecule: ribosomal RNA, 274 nt
Filed under: uncultured bacterium
Lineage: Bacteria
Description: partial 16S ribosomal RNA
Rfam family: Bacterial small subunit ribosomal RNA
Source: RNAcentral
AUACGGAGGGUGCAAGCGUUAAUCGGAAUUACUGGGCGUAAAGGGUACGUAGGCGGUUAAAUAAGUUGGAUGUGAAAGCCCCGGGCUCAACCUGGGAACUGCAUUCAAAACUGUUUGACUAGAGUGUAUGAGAGGUUGGCGGAAUUCCAGGUGUAGCAGUGAAAUGCGUAGAUAUCUGGAGGAACAUCAGUGGCGAAGGCGGCCAACUGGCAUAACACUGACGCUGAGGUACGAAAGCGUGGGGAGCGAACGGGAUUAGAAACCCGAGUAGUCC